Molecule: transfer RNA, 72 nt
Filed under: Camelus bactrianus (Bactrian camel)
Lineage: Eukaryota; Metazoa; Chordata; Mammalia; Artiodactyla; Camelidae
Also listed under: 2 other names
Rfam family: tRNA
About the family: Transfer RNA (tRNA) molecules are approximately 80 nucleotides in length. Their secondary structure includes four short double-helical elements and three loops (D, anti-codon, and T loops).
Source: Rfam by way of RNAcentral
GAGGGGAUAGCUCAGUGGUAGAGUGCAUGCCUAGCAUGCGUGAGGUCCUGGGUUCAAUCCCCAGUCCCUCCA